GGCAGGCCAUGGACUCAACGUCCCCCACCUCCCCACAAAUCGUUAAUCUCCUCCCUCUAUCCACUUCUUCCUUGAUUGUCUAUACUUCUCCACAUCACACGGCCAAACUUGUGGAAAAAAGGGGGGCGAGACAACUUUAUCUCCUUGCAGACCUCCCUAAAAAAAAUCUCACUUCGGGCCGCCACCACAAAUCCUCAAUCGAUCUCACCUGAUCCACCGCCGCCGCCACAAAUCCUCCAUCGUUCUCACCUGAUUUCCCUGCGCCGCCGUUGGCUUGGCGCACAUCUAGGUUUCCCCACUUGAUCCUUGGGUAUGAGGGUUCCCUCACCUGGUAUGUAGAUCACGGCUGGACAAGAAAUUGUCACGGUGCCGCUGGCCAUGUCCACCUCGCGCUCUCCCUGGAAGCCCCGCUCCCCGCGCUCCAUUUUGAUAGUCACCACAGGGAACGACUACAAGAGGAAGACGCACAAGGUGUCCGAGAUUCGCCGGGGAUGGGGAAGGUCAUGCGUCGCUGCGCCGGGAGGCAGCAUCUACUCUGCUAGAAGAAUGCUAAGCAAAGUUGGUAUUACUUUGGCUGAACCUGGAUGGUGCAAAGUCAGGCUUGCUUCUCUCAGUUUCCUAUCUAGAUCUCCAUGUGCUGGUUGUUACUAGUUGUCUUGAUUAAUUUAGAUAAAUACCACUGUGUUUACCUCUUGUUGUUUGAUAGGAAUUUGGAUCAGAUGUCAAUAGCGCAGGGGCAGGGGGCUACUCGAUGGGCCAAAAAAGCGGAGGUUUGGUUGCAGUUCCCAGAUGCACAACAGCGGUGCGGCGCCCAUAUGCACAACGGUGGCGCGACGGCUGCGAGAUGUACAGAAGUGGUAGUGAUGACAUUACGCGGUGACUGUGGACUCUGGCGUCAAAGGACAAAACAUGGUUCAGAUUCAUAAGAUAUUUUGACGAUGCAUGGCUUAGACGUUGAUUGCACGGUCCAGAAUGGUGCUAUAGGAUACUCUUAUCAUCUGAUUGCAAGGUCGAGAAUGGUGUUGCUGCUAGAUAGUUUGAUCAUCUGAUUGCAAGGUCGAGAAUGGUGUUGCUGCUGGAUAGUUUUAUCAUCUGAUUGCAAGGUCGAGAAUGGUGUUGCUGCUAUAUGGUCUUAUCAUAUGAUUGCAAGGUCGAGAAUGGUGUUGCUGUUGGAUAGUCUUAUGUUAUGUUUUAGGAUAUCAUUUCCAGUGUCAAUGUUUCAAAAGUUCUAAUUUCGAAUAGUUGAGAAAAUGAUUGAAAAGAUCCAGAAUUGGGCUAGUAUUGUAAUCUUUGGAUCAUGUUCUUUGUAAUGCAAUAGAUGAAAUUGAAUAUAUUAGACCUUUUUCAUA
RNA transcript from Triticum dicoccoides, 1349 nucleotides. RefSeq lists it as uncharacterized. NCBI's taxonomy places the organism in Eukaryota, Viridiplantae, Streptophyta, Magnoliopsida, Poales, Poaceae. The record is from RefSeq and is a predicted model, not a curated record. The transcript is spliced from 5 exons.